AAUUGUCUGCUGGACAUUCCUCCCUGAUACAUCUCACAGAGGCUGUGGACAGGAGCACCGAGAGCCACUUCCUGGAGCAUGCUCCCCACCCCCGCAGCCUGUGGCUUCAGCCUCUGCUUCUGCAGACAGCGGUGGAGGAAGUCAGGACUGUCCCUUCUGACCUGAACACCUACCUCCAAGUCCUCCCUGUCGCCACAGAGACCCGGCAAUGCAAGUGAGUCCUGUUUGACCUCGUCAAUCAUCGCAGACUGUAAAGGUGACUCGGAUGCUCAAGAAACGAGCAUACCCAGCAGUGGGCCCCAGACUUCUCGCAGGCCCAGGUCCUCCUGGGUGCACAGAGACCUACCAGACAACGGUCCGG
RNAcentral lists this long non-coding RNA (361 nucleotides) under Homo sapiens (human). Its description in RNAcentral is "HSALNT0353638". The record is from RNAcentral. Lineage: Eukaryota; Metazoa; Chordata; Mammalia; Primates; Hominidae.